RNAcentral lists this long non-coding RNA (286 nucleotides) under Physcomitrium patens. Its description in RNAcentral is "long non-coding RNA (PPAT_LNC002165)". The record is from RNAcentral. Lineage: Eukaryota; Viridiplantae; Streptophyta; Bryopsida; Funariales; Funariaceae.
AUUGACUGUACUCUAGCUAUUUGAAAUCAAUUAUCAAACUACAAAACACGAAGGCUUAUUACUUCCAUCUUAAUUCAAACCAUAAUCCAUUCUAUAACUAUCAAUUCAACUAUACUUCCAUAUUCUUAUCCGUUCAUGUGCCACUUACUUACUUUGUGGUUCAUAUAUAUUCAAUUACUGAUCUCCAGCUUACCUAUUGUAUUCAAUUUUUUAAUUCAUCACACAGAAUUCAAUAUCUUGGCUUACGACUCUCACAGUUUGGCUCUCCAGACUAACUUCUCAGUAU